RNAcentral lists this long non-coding RNA (262 nucleotides) under Rattus norvegicus (Norway rat). RNAcentral describes it as "long non-coding RNA NONRATT016865". The record is from RNAcentral. Lineage: Eukaryota; Metazoa; Chordata; Mammalia; Rodentia; Muridae.
GUAUAGGAUAUUUUGGCCACAAUCUCAGAAGUUGUUUACAUUGAUUUGCUAGAAGGAGAUACUGAAUGCCAUGCCCGAUUCAAAACCCCAGAGGAUGCUCAGGCAGUAAUGAAUGCACAGACUGAAAUUAAAAAGAAGCACAGUUGGAACCUCGAGAUCCUUUCUGGUGAUCAUGAGCAGAGGUACUGGCAGAAGAUUUUGGUAGAUAGACAAGCCAAACUUAAUCAACCUCGGGAAAAGAAAAGAGGCACAGAAAAGGUAA